AUUGAACGCUGGCGGAAUGCUUUACACAUGCAAGUCGAACGGCAGCACGGACUUCGGUCUGGUGGCGAGUGGCGAACGGGUGAGUAAUGUAUCGGAACGUGCCCAGUCGUGGGGGAUAACGUAGUGAAAAUUACGCUAAUACCGCAUACGAUCUAUGGAUGAAAGCGGGGGAUCGCAAGACCUCGCGCGAUUGGAGCGGCCGAUAUCAGAUUAGGUAGUUGGUGGGGUAAAGGCCCACCAAGCCAACGAUCUGUAGCUGGUCUGAGAGGACGACCAGCCACACUGGAACUGAGACACGGUGCAGGCUCCUACGGGAGGAAGCAGUGGGGAAUUUUGGACAAUGGGCGCAAGCCUGAUCCAGCCAUUCCGCGUGCAGGAUGAAGGCCCUCGGGUUGUAAACUGCUUUUGUACAGAACGAAAAGGUUUCUACUAAUACUAGGAGCUCAUGACGGUACUGUAAGAAUAAGCACCGGCUAACUACGUGCCAGCCGCCGCAGUAA
Molecule: ribosomal RNA, 500 nt
Filed under: uncultured bacterium
Lineage: Bacteria
Description: partial 16S ribosomal RNA
Rfam family: Bacterial small subunit ribosomal RNA
Source: RNAcentral